GACGUGCCUAACAUCAGUAGGCCAACUAAUAUCCAUGGAAGAAAUUACAUCCUCCCUCUCCACACUACACGUAACCACUGACUUCCUUAAUGCCGCUGCCAAAAUAUCCAAAAUAGCGAACUGAUUACUACCAUGUCUACCUCGCUGAUUCCCUCCUCCUCCUCCUCUUUCUCCAAAUGUCGAGCCGGAGCUAAUAAACGGAGUCGAUAUCGGGUUUCUCAAA
This 223-nucleotide unclassified non-coding RNA is filed under the name Hevea brasiliensis (rubber tree). The record is from RNAcentral. Lineage: Eukaryota; Viridiplantae; Streptophyta; Magnoliopsida; Malpighiales; Euphorbiaceae.